Molecule: non-coding RNA, 228 nt
Filed under: Viridibacillus arenosi
Lineage: Bacteria; Bacillati; Bacillota; Bacilli; Caryophanales; Caryophanaceae
Description: T-box sequence
Rfam family: T-box leader
About the family: Uncharged tRNA acts as the effector for transcription antitermination of genes in the T-box leader family. T-boxes are found upstream of many aminoacyl-tRNA synthetase genes and some amino acid biosynthetic genes usually in Gram-positive bacteria.
Source: RNAcentral
AUAGAUGCAUAGAUAGGGAAGAGUAGAAUGCAUUGUGUUUGCCAAAGAGAGGAAACGUUAGGUGCGAGUUUCCGCUUACACACAUUUGAAGGUCGCCCUGGAGCAGUUUCUGUGAACCUGAUAAAGCUUAGCAGAAGCCGGUUAGAAGCCGUUAUACAAUGAAGUGUCAGCACGUUUUUUGUGUUGAAAUAAAGGUGGUACCGCGAAUUCAACUCCUUCGUCCUUUUU